This 72-nucleotide transfer RNA is filed under the name Bos taurus (domestic cattle). It matches the Rfam family "tRNA". Rfam says of the family: Transfer RNA (tRNA) molecules are approximately 80 nucleotides in length. The record is from Rfam by way of RNAcentral. Lineage: Eukaryota; Metazoa; Chordata; Mammalia; Artiodactyla; Bovidae. RNAcentral also lists the same sequence under 6 other names.
UCCCUGGUGGCUAAGUGGUAAAGAAUCUGCCUGCCAAUGCAGGAGACACAGGUUCAAUCCUUGAUCUGGGAA